UGUCCCAGCCGCCGCGGUAAUACAGAGGGUGCAAGCGUUAAUCGGAUUUACUGGGCGUAAAGCGCGCGUAGGCGGCUAAUUAAGUCAAAUGUGAAAUCCCCGAGCUUAACUUGGGAAUUGCAUUCGAUACUGGUUAGCUAGAGUGUGGGAGAGGAUGGUAGAAUUCCAGGUGUAGCGGUGAAAUGCGUAGAGAUCUGGAGGAAUACCGAUGGCGAAGGCAGCCAUCUGGCCUAACACUGACGCUGAGGUGCGAAAGCAUGGGGAGCAAACAGGAUUAGAUACCCUGGUAGUCCAUGCCGUAAACGAUGUCUACUAGCCGUUGGGGCCUUUGAGGCUUUAGUGGCGCAGCUAACGCGAUAAGCAGACCGCCUGGGGAGUACGGUCGCAAGACUAAAACUCAAAUGAAUUGACGGGGGCCCGCACAAGCGGUGGAGCAUGUGGUUUAAUUCGAUGCAACGCGAAGAACCUUACCUGGCCUUGACAUAGUAAGAACUUUCCAGAGAUGGAUUGGUGCCUUCGGGAACUUACAUAACAGGUGCUGCAUGGCUGUCGUCAGCUCGUGUCGUGAGAUGUUGGGUUAAGUCCCGCAACGAGCGCAACCCUUUUCCUUAUUUGCCAGCGAGUAAUGUCGGGAACUUUAAGGAUACUGCCAGUGACAAACUGGAGGAAGGCGGGGACGACGUCAAGUCAUCAUGGCCCUUACGGCCAGGGCUACACACGUGCUACAAUGGUCGGUACAAAGGGUUGCUACCUAGCGAUAGGAUGCUAAUCUCAAAAAGCCGAUCGUAGUCCGGGAUUGGUAGUCUGCAACUCGACUCCAUGAAGUCGGAAUCGCUAGUAAUCGCGGAUCAGAAUGCCGCGGUGAAUACGUUCCCGGGCCUUGUACACACCGCCCGUCACACCAUGGGAGUUUGUUGCACCAGAAGUAGCUAGCCUAACUGCAAAGAGGGCGGUUACCACGGUGUGGCCGAUGACUGGGGUGAAGUCGUAACAAGGUAACCGAUCGAUCGGCAGUCGCCAUGGCGCCGAAAAUGCCAAGUCGCCAAUCGC
RNAcentral lists this ribosomal RNA (1050 nucleotides) under uncultured Acinetobacter sp. RNAcentral describes it as "bacterial SSU rRNA". It matches the Rfam family "Bacterial small subunit ribosomal RNA", at positions 504 to 1533 of the family's 1533-position model. The record is from RNAcentral. Lineage: Bacteria; Pseudomonadati; Pseudomonadota; Gammaproteobacteria; Moraxellales; Moraxellaceae.